UAUACCGUGAAACUGCGAAUGGCUCAUUAAAUCAGUUAUCGUUUAUUUGAUAGUACCUUACUACUUGGAUAACCGUGGUAAUUCUAGAGCUAAUACAUGCUGAAAACCCCAACUUCGGGAGGGGUGUAUUUAUUAGAUAAAAAACCAACGCCCUUCGGGGCUUCUUGGUGAUUCAUGAUAACUUAACGGAUCGCAUGGCCUUGCGCCGGCGACGGUUCAUUCAAAUUUCUGCCCUAUCAACUUUCGAUGGUAAGGUAUUGGCUUACCAUGGUUUCAACGGGUAACGGGGAAUUAGGGUUCGAUUCCGGAGAGGGAGCCUGAGAAACGGCUACCACAUCCAAGGAAGGCAGCAGGCGCGCAAAUUAUCCAAUCCCGACACGGGGAGAUAGUGACAAUAAAUACUGAUACAGGGCUCUUUUGGGUCUUGUAAUUGGAAUGAGUACAAUUUAAACCUCUUAACGAGGAACAAUUGGAGGGCAAGUCUGGUGCCAGCAGCCGCGGUAAUUCCAGCUCCAAUAGCGUAUAUUAAAGUUGUUGCAGUUAAAAAGCUCGUAGUUGAACCUUGGGUCUGGCUGGCAGGUCCGCCUCACCGCGUGUACUUGUCCGGCCGGGCCUUCCUUCUGGAGAACCUCAUGCCCUUCACUGGGCGUGUUGGGGACCAGGACUUUUACUUUGAAAAAAUUAGAGUGUUCAAAGCAGGCCUUUGCUCGAAUACGUUAGCAUGGAAUAAUAGAAUAGGACGUGCGGUCCUAUUUUGUUGGUUUCUAGGACCGCCGUAAUGAUUAAUAGGGACAGUCGGGGGCAUCAGUAUUCAAUUGUCAGAGGUGAAAUUCUUGGAUUUAUUGAAGACUAACUACUGCGAAAGCAUUUGCCAAGGAUGUUUUCAUUAAUCAGUGAACGAAAGUUAGGGGAUCGAAGACGAUCAGAUACCGUCGUAGUCUUAACCGUAAACUAUGCCGACUAGGGAUCGGGCGAUGUUCUUUUUCUGACUCGCUCGGCACCUUACGAGAAAUCAAAGUU
RNAcentral lists this ribosomal RNA (1020 nucleotides) under Phaeosphaeria caricicola. Its description in RNAcentral is "SSU rRNA". It matches the Rfam family "Eukaryotic small subunit ribosomal RNA", at positions 75 to 1105 of the family's 1831-position model. The record is from RNAcentral. Lineage: Eukaryota; Fungi; Ascomycota; Dothideomycetes; Pleosporales; Phaeosphaeriaceae.